AGCACCACAACAGGUGGAGCCUGCGUUUAUCGGACUCAACGCCGGGAAACUCUACCAGUUAAGACAGCUGAAUGAUAGUCGGGCUGAAGACUCUACUUUGACUAGCUGAGAGGAGGUGCAUGGCCGUCGUCAGUUCGUACUGUGAAGCAUCCUGUUAAGUCAGGCAACGAGCGAGACCCACGCCCACAGUUGCCAGCGUACUCUCUGGAGUGACGGGUACGACUGUGGGACCGCCGCUGCUAAAGCGGAGGAAGGAAUGGGCAACGGUAGGUCAGUAUGCCCCGAAUAUCCCGGGCUACACGCGAGCUACAAUGGUUGGUACAAUGGGUAUCUACCCCGAAAGGGGAACGGGAAUCUCCUAAACCAAUCUUAGUUCGGAUUGAGGGCUGCAACUCGCCCUCAUGAAGCUGGAAUCCGUAGUAAUCGCGUUUCAACAGAACGCGGUGAAUACGUCCCUGCUCCUU
RNAcentral lists this ribosomal RNA (464 nucleotides) under uncultured Methanolinea sp. RNAcentral describes it as "bacterial SSU rRNA". It matches the Rfam family "Archaeal small subunit ribosomal RNA", at positions 875 to 1338 of the family's 1478-position model. Lineage: Archaea; Methanobacteriati; Methanobacteriota; Methanomicrobia; Methanomicrobiales; Methanoregulaceae. The record is from RNAcentral.